UGGCUCAGAGGUUAAAGCGUCUGCCUGGAAUGCGGGAGACCCGGGUUCGAUCCCUGG
This is a non-coding RNA of Bos taurus (domestic cattle), 57 nucleotides long. The record is from Rfam. NCBI's taxonomy places the organism in Eukaryota, Metazoa, Chordata, Mammalia, Artiodactyla, Bovidae.